UGACGUCACGAGCGCGCCGGCAGUGACGCCAUUGGUGGACUAGGCGGACUAGGCGGACUAGGGUCUCGCUGCACCGCCGCGCCGCGGAGCAGUGCCCAGUCUCUCGCUCCUCCCGGCUGGGUAGCUUCGAGUGAGGAGAAACGGUCUUCCUCGUCUUUACCAUUCCAUAACAUUCAUGAGCCGACCCUGCUCCGGGGACACUGCGGUGGAUGAGAGAGCCCCAGUCUCCAUGCUACGGAGCUCAGGUUCAGUGGGGGACUUAGACGGAUCACCAUCACCAGGUCUUACCUCAGAUGCGCCCUUCUAUUCAAGCCUUCUCUGACCACGCCUCCCACCCCCCACCUCCAGGUUGGUUGGAUUAACUUCUCUGGACUCUCAAAGAGCUGGGAGGACAAAACGAAGAGGUGGUGUUACAGGACUUAGAGAAGGGGGAGCUGCGUGGCUGAUGCCCAGACCUCUGAAGAUAAGAUUUUAAAGGCAGGAGCUUACCUAUCUGAGCCACCCAGGCAUCCCGAGGACUGACUCCAAUUCUGAAGGAAGUUCUACUCUGGUUAAAAUGCUGUCAUUCAGCAUCACAUGCUGCAGAGAAAUCGUCCAUGAAAGUGCAGCACACUUCAGUUUGUCUCACUUUCAGAGAUUAUCAGUUAUGCCAACCUUCAGCAGCCACCACCCUGAUGAGUCAGCAGCCACGGACAUGGAAACAAGAUUCUCCACCAGCAAAAGGGUUAUGACUUACUGAAAGCUCAAAUGAUGGUAGCAUCUUUUAGCAAUAAAGUAUUUUUAACAUUUAAGCAAUAAAGUAUCUUAAAGUUGA
Molecule: long non-coding RNA, 814 nt
Organism: Lutra lutra (Eurasian river otter)
Lineage: Eukaryota; Metazoa; Chordata; Mammalia; Carnivora; Mustelidae
Exons: 5
Source: RefSeq, a predicted model, not a curated record